UCAGUGAGCUCUGCAUCUGCCUCUCUGUCUGCAUGUUGUCUGGGCUGUGAUCCAUGUGAGGAGUGCAGAUUAGUGGGGAGGAUAAACAGCAUCACUUCAAUGAGACGGUGGAGCCAGAGGCCUGUUUUUUAUCUUAUGAUGGUGUGCAAGCUUCUCUCUAGCAACCUCCAAACAGUCACUGAAUUAAUGGCUAUUUUCAAGGGAGAGAAAAGACUCUCAGGCUAUGUCAGAUUCUCAGAGUUUGGUAAUCUGGAAAGGGUUAAGAACUUGCUGCCAUAAUUCUAUCACAGACUGCUCUUGCUUCUACAGAAAAACAAAAAACAAAAAACACGGAGCAUCUUAAGAAGAAUCUCCUAUCUGAAUCUAAGACAAGAAAAUGGCAUUUUUGUCUACUUUUAUUUGCAGUGAUGGCAUUUUUGUCUACUUGUAUUUGCAAUGUUUAUUCUGUCUUCCCUCUACCCCCUCACACCAGCACCAAUUAUUCCACACCUGCUGGUGAACAAGCAGAGGCCUCUUUACACCUAUAUCCGCAUGGUCUUCAUUACUGGAUUGAGAAAAACACUGAUGAUGAAGUAGUUUUCCGCCCAUUACCUGUCUCUAAUAAUAUGCUUGUCAUCACAAUUAGUUUCACCAUCCCUGGCUUGCUUUUCUGUCAUUUCUUUCCCUUGAGUUCUGUUAAUAGCAGAAAUUGGCUGCUAAACUAUUAUUCUGGUCUGUGUAAUGGGGCUGAUGGCAGAAACAUUCUGCUUCUUUUGACAACUGGGUAUGAUUUGUAAAGGUGUGAAGAAGAAUUGCUAAUACUUCUGGGCUCCAUUACAUUAACCUGGAAGGCAUUCUACCCAAGAAAUGAAUCCAAUAUUAAAUUGCC
RNAcentral lists this long non-coding RNA (868 nucleotides) under Homo sapiens (human). RNAcentral describes it as "HSALNT0322883". The record is from RNAcentral. Lineage: Eukaryota; Metazoa; Chordata; Mammalia; Primates; Hominidae.